AUAAUGUUGGCUGUCCAGAUGCCUAAAAAGCAUCUGUUAGCAAGGGCCGGGCAAGACCGGUGCCAGCCGCCGCGGUAACACCGGCGGCCCGAGUGGUAACCGCUAUUAUUGGGUCUAAAGGGUCUGUAGCCGGCCAGGUAAGUCCCUUGGGAAAUCUGGCAGCUCAACUGUCAGGCUGCUAGGGGAUACUGUUUGGCUUGGGACCGGGAGAGGUGAGAGGUACCUUGGGGGUAGGGGUGAAAUCUUGUGAUCCUCGGGGGACCACCAGUGGCGAAGGCGUCUCACCAGAACGGGUCCGACGGUAAGGGACGAAAGCUAGGGGCACGAACCGGAUUAGAUACCCGGGUAGUCCUAGCCGUAAACGAUGCUCGCUAGGUGUCAGUCACGGUGCGACCGUGAUUGGUGCCGUAGGGAAGCCGUGAAGCGAGCCACCUGGGAAGUAUGGCCGCAAGGCUGAAACUUAAAGGAAUUGGCGGGGGAGCACUACAACGGGUGGAGCCUGCGGUUUAAUUGGAUUCAACGCCGGAAAUCUCACCGGGGGCGACAGCGAUAUGAAGGUCAGGCUGAAGACCUUACCCGAUUAGCUGAGAGGUGGUGCAUGGCCGUCGUCAGUUCGUACUGUGAAGCAUAAUCA
This 634-nucleotide ribosomal RNA is filed under the name uncultured Methanosaeta sp. RNAcentral's name for it is "bacterial SSU rRNA". It matches the Rfam family "Archaeal small subunit ribosomal RNA", at positions 397 to 1029 of the family's 1478-position model. Lineage: Archaea; Methanobacteriati; Methanobacteriota; Methanomicrobia; Methanotrichales; Methanotrichaceae. The record is from RNAcentral.